RNAcentral lists this unclassified non-coding RNA (205 nucleotides) under Hevea brasiliensis (rubber tree). The record is from RNAcentral. Lineage: Eukaryota; Viridiplantae; Streptophyta; Magnoliopsida; Malpighiales; Euphorbiaceae.
GGUCCUAGGAUGCCAGUAGAAGCUGUGGGCUUUGUACAUAUUAGUAACCGCCCUAAAACAGAUGCUUGGCUCGAGAAUGUAAAUAAUAGAGACAGCUUAAGAACAGAAGCUCAGCUCAAGUUUGUAAAUAGUAACAAUGCGGGCUCAAAAGUGGAAAAUCAUUUUGAAGAUGAGGGUGAUAAGUUUGAUUAGAGGUGUGCAGCUA